GCCUCCUUCUCAUCCUUCAUGCUGACUAGACAAAAACAGGACCAGGAGAGAGCCCUGGAUAGUAUACACUCCGUAUGUUGGGCAUAACUGCAGAGCAGAUGCGGCCUAUGAGUUAAGUAAGAGUAGUACAGCAUGUACAGCUUGUUCUCAGAAACAAACAGCUCUUCUCAGAAGGUCACAUUUCCAUCCUGAGGAAGGCAAUUGGCAUUGAAUGAAGCAUACCCAGUCAAAACUGGCACACAGAACAGUGAGCUCACCAUAGCCACAUUAUCCUUAAGGACACAAUUUGUCUAUCUCUUUCAGUUUUGAAAUGACUCAAUUUUGAUGACAAAAAGAUGUGUAUGAAC
RNAcentral lists this long non-coding RNA (347 nucleotides) under Phascolarctos cinereus (koala). Its description in RNAcentral is "lncRNA (ENSPCIG00000032392.1)". Lineage: Eukaryota; Metazoa; Chordata; Mammalia; Diprotodontia; Phascolarctidae. The record is from RNAcentral.